This 129-nucleotide small RNA is filed under the name Marmota monax (woodchuck). Lineage: Eukaryota; Metazoa; Chordata; Mammalia; Rodentia; Sciuridae. The record is from RNAcentral.
GCUGGGCAUGGCGGCCCAUGCCUGUAAUCCCAGCAACUCAGGAGGUUGAGGCAGGAGGAUUUCGAGUCCAAAGCCAGUCUUAGCAAUGGCAAGAUGCUAAACUAUUUAUUCAGUGAGACCCUGUCUCUA